Molecule: ribosomal RNA, 94 nt
Filed under: Actinobacillus equuli subsp. equuli
Lineage: Bacteria; Pseudomonadati; Pseudomonadota; Gammaproteobacteria; Pasteurellales; Pasteurellaceae
Description: partial 23S ribosomal RNA
Rfam family: Bacterial large subunit ribosomal RNA
Source: RNAcentral
GGGUUGUUGGAGACUACGACGUAGAUAGGUCUGGUGUGUAAGUGGUGUGAGCCAUUGAGCUAACGGAUACUAAUUGCCCGAGAGGCUUAACUAU